Molecule: long non-coding RNA, 1460 nt
Filed under: Canis lupus familiaris (dog)
Lineage: Eukaryota; Metazoa; Chordata; Mammalia; Carnivora; Canidae
Description: lncRNA (ENSCAFG00030018297.1)
Source: RNAcentral
AUAAUACAUAACAGCUCUCCCAGGAGCGACUACUGUUCCUUGAUAUUUUAGAGGAACCAAUAUGCUAGUGUGACACGAGCAAGGCAGGACCAACCAUUCAAAGUGGAGCAGGCUUAAUUUAGGAGCCACAGACUACAAAUCAGCACAUCCCUACUCAUGAGCCUGAACUCAGACUCACUCUCCGACCCCGUAACUGACCAGAACAAGGUGCUGCUCCCAGGUCCACCUUCCCUCAGAUGUGAGCUGUGUCGGCUCCGACCCACCUUGGCCCCUCAUGGAUCACUUCAGGGAAGUCCCCUGACCAAAAGGAUCUUCUUCACCAUCACCAUCUCCCCCGGCAGACCUUGGCCUUGGUUCUUGGAAAACCCUCCCCAUCUUCCAGAAUCCCAAUCGAAAUGCCGUGAAGGCAGGACAGUAACCUCUGACAGGUCUGAAGUCCUCGUACUUUCUCUUCACGAAUCCUAGGAACAAUCUCUUCAGGAAAAAACAGACCAACCCAAACUAGUUAAAUGUUGUCAAGAACACAUUCUUAAUGGUUAUCAAGACCACUUCCUGUAAUAUAUGCAGGGAAGAUCCCUAUUUAAAAUGACUGAGCAAGGGAUCCCUGGGUGGCGCAGCGGUUUGGCGCCUGCCUUUGGCCCAGGGCGCGAUCCUGGAGACCCGGGAUCGAAUCCCACGUCGGGCUCCCGGUGCAUGGAGCCUGCUUCUCCCUCUGCCUGUGUCUCUGCCUCUCUCUCUCUCUCUCUGUGUGACUAUCGUAAAUAAAAAAAUAAAAAAAAAUUUUAAAUGACUGAGCAAAAUUAUUGAGCACCUGUAUUUGCCACCUCUGUAAGGUGCUGGGGAUAGAAAGCCAGAUGGCACCAUGUCUGUCUUCGCUUGUACAGUCUGGAAGGGAGGACAGACCUGGUCAUGGUCGAAAAGUCAUGAAGGGGUUGCAGGAGAGCAUUUAAGACAGUCAGACACCUGGAGCAGAACCAGCUUGAAGAGCUGGUUUGUGAUGGGGUAGGAUGAGGAAGGAGGAAGAUGCCAGAUCCUUAAGCCCAACUGGAUGCCAUAUAAGAACUUUCUACCUUUUCUCAAAAACUCUAGGGAACAAUUAGAACCUUUAAAACCGGGAAUGAUAUGCAGAUUUUCAUUUUAGAAAGUUCACUCUGCCCACAGGGUGACAUAUGGUUUGAAGCGAGGCCCAGCUGGAGAUGAAAUGGGCUCCAGUGUCAAAGGGUUCUGAACAUAGGGACUCAAUAAGGGACGCUUCAGCCAAAUUAGAGAGCUUUCGAGGCAGAAGAGUGGUGUGGAUUUUGUGCUUCAUUCAGCUGGGAGGCUGGGGGCCAGGGGUCAGGAUUCAAGGGACACUUUCCCAAGAGGGUCUGUGUCAGGUCACCAGGGACUAUCCGGACUUUACUAAUGCUGUGCAUUGCCCUUGAUGAAGCCCGGUCGGCCGCGAGCUGUAGUCGAGCCUG